AGGGAAGGGAGGAAGGGAGUGCAUGAUGAGUGUGUGUUAGGAGGGAAGAGAGGAAGAGAGUGCAUGAUGAGUGUGUGUUAGGCCUUUGGGGUUGUUAGGACAGUACUCUCCGAAGAGCUGGAUCCUCAAGAGCUUCUUGAAGAUAGAAAGGGGCCGCACUCUGGUAAGUCAUUCCACCAUCAGGGAACAACAAAUGAAAAUACUCUGGAUCACCGGGUGUGUAGGGGCGGCAGUGACAGAUGACGCUCCCUUGAGGAAUGCAGUGGCCGAGGGAUAACAUAAGCCUUAAUGAAAGUAAGUAAGUGGAAGGAGACCCAGUAAUCACUUUGCAGACAUGCAUUAGUGACCUAACACCACGCUGUAGCGGCACAGAACUUGCUGUCCAAACAUGGAGCCACAACACAACUCCACAGAAAGCCGCUACACU
Long non-coding RNA from Alosa alosa (allis shad), 427 nucleotides. RefSeq lists it as uncharacterized. The transcript has 3 exons. The record is from RefSeq and is a predicted model, not a curated record. NCBI's taxonomy places the organism in Eukaryota, Metazoa, Chordata, Actinopteri, Clupeiformes, Clupeidae.